UUUUUCUCUGGUUGCUUCCCUACCGUGUGAGACUGUAAAUUGUUUCUCCAAAUAGUUUUCCCAAACCACCGCCAUCAUUGAUUCAUCCAAAUCCAUGAAUUCGCAGAAUCGCGCCACAUAACCAGUCAACAACACAGAGCUCUCUUCGUCCACGACAACCCAUCGGUCCACCUCAACGCCGCGUGUGCAACAACUAGCACAAUCCCAACCAACAGCGGCACCUAAACAUUCAUCGUCGCCUGUGAAGAAUAGCAGUAGAAUCCAUUUUGCUAAAGAGGGUCAGCAAGCUGUUGUUUGGUUUUGGCCCGAGAAAGGGAAGCCACAUGAAUGCCCAGUCCAGCUUUUCAACGUAAUACAAUUGGGCAAGACGCAUAAUACACUAUGAAUCGGAAGGAGAAGAAGAAACAGUUACAGUGCGUCAAAGUUUGUUACUUUUUGGUGGCCUAAGUUGGGGCAUAAGUCUUCCAAUGCUUUGAGUGUUUGCGCUCCUUUUUCUUAAUCUUCGUAACAAUCAUUCUAAUCUCUUUUUAUCUCUGUGCAGACGUUUUCCAAAGUUGUUAGAAGUUGGGUAUCAAAAAAGUUCAUGACAGGAUGGUGGGCAUUUUUAUCUUCUGACUCCUAUUUCGUUCAAAUCAUGUUCAUAUGUAAUACUAUUUUUUGUUUGAUACUCUGUGUAAACCUUCAAUUCUAUGUUGUGGGGAGGGUCAAAUAUCUUUAAAGUUGGUGGAUUUCAGAUUAUUCUUAAGAUUUAGAGUUGAAAGAUGGAAUGCUUUAGUAGUGAUAGGAACUUAAACUUAGAUUGUUGGCAUGUAUUUAUAAUCUAUUUUUCUCUCUUUCUGAAAGUAGAAGUAUAUUACAAGUUAGCUAAGACAAAGAACUAGCCUUUUGCUAGAUGAAUUCAAGAAAUGUACAACUUAGCUUAUUACAAGUUUUAGACUGAGCCCAUUUCAUAUAAUUUUAGGCUAAUGUCAUAUAUGGGUGGAUUUUUUUUUUUUUUUUUUUUUUUUUUUGAUGCAUCCAUUAUGUAGUAGUUAAUGAGAUCAAAGCUUCGUUCUCCUUCUUUGAGGCUGCUUUUUGCUCUCAUAUAUAUAUAUAUAUAUCAUAUUACCUGCUCACUCUUUGCUCUUUUGCAGUGUGAUCGUAUUUCCAAUAGCGAUCACUUUCUAUAUCACAUGGUGUUUUAUUCACUUUGUGGAUGGUUUCUUCUCUCCGAUCUAUGCUCAACUUCGAAUAGACAUUUUUGGUAUGUAGUGUUCUGAAAUGCAUCCUUAAACCCAUUAUUUGAUUGGUACAUUCUAACUUGCAUUAGUUAUGCUCUUGCGCUUUGACGUUGCUGAGCCUGAGCUAAGUCCUUGACAGCCCACCUCGGCCCGCGAAUCGCCCAACUUGCAAGGCAGGAAGUUUACCACAUGAUCUCGACCUCCUCAUCAUCGACAGCAGCAGCGGCGACCAUCAGAGCAACUCUCUUUGCGGCGCCUUUCCUUCUUUGGCCAACCUCCCUUCAAGAAGUCUACCUCGACGCGAACAACUUCACCUCCAUUCCCGCCGGCUACUUCACAGGCCUCUCGAGCUUGCAGAUUUUGAGCAUGAGCCAGAACAUCAAUCUCGACAUUUGGGUUUUCCCCUCGGAGCUCACUGAAGCUUCCAGCUUGGUCACUUUCGCUGCAGGGUUUUGGAGAGUUUGAAUUUGGGGCAAUGGGGUUCAAGGUUUGCGGGAAUCAUUCGUGCAGAACAUCCAAUACACACGAAUGAAGGAAAGGCUGAUCUUUGCGGUUCAGCGGAUUUGCCAGUCUCUGCUGCAAGUGCAGAGACUUUGGACCCGGGUGCUUCUAGACAUCUUGAAAAAGCGCAAGGAAAAUAUUUCAAUCAAGGAUUGUCCACCCACUGUUUUUAAAAGGAAGUUUCAAACUGUUUCCGAAUGCAGGACAAGAGAAGAAUGUGAAGUAAGAAAUUAAGUCCUGAGAAGUAAAGCAUGUGAAUCAUUUUUGUUGUACAUAGGUUGUUAAUAUAAAGUUAGUAUAAUCAGGUGCAAAUUGAUGAUGGGAACAAUUUAUUUACUCUCUGAUUUGUACUUAGAAAGCUGCCAUUUUAGUUGUACGUAAUCUCUUAAUGUAAAUUCAACAGAACAUACAUGCAAAGUGAAGACUUAUUUCUACCA
Molecule: RNA transcript, 2158 nt
Organism: Pyrus x bretschneideri (Chinese white pear)
Lineage: Eukaryota; Viridiplantae; Streptophyta; Magnoliopsida; Rosales; Rosaceae
Gene name: receptor like protein 22
Exons: 7
Source: RefSeq, a predicted model, not a curated record